GAUGAAGAACGCAGCGAAAUGCGAUAAGUAAUGUGAAUUGCAGAAUUCAGUGAAUCAUCGAAUAUUUGAACGCACAUUGCGCCCGCCAGUAUUCUGGCGGGCAUGCCUGUUCGAGCGUCAUUACAACCCUCAGGCCCCCGGGCCUGGCGUUGGGGAUCGGCGGAGCCCCCCGUGGGCACACGCCGUCCCCCAAAUGCAGUGGCGGUCCCGCCGCAGCUUCCAUCGCGUAGUAGCUAACACCUCGCGACUGGAGAGCGGCGCGGCCACGCCGUAAAACACCCAACUCUUCUGAAGUUGACCUCGAAUCAGGUAGGAAUACCCGCUGAACUUAAGCAUAUCAAUAAGCGGAGGA
This 352-nucleotide unclassified non-coding RNA is filed under the name soil metagenome. RNAcentral describes it as "partial contains 5.8S ribosomal RNA, internal transcribed spacer 2, and large subunit ribosomal RNA". The stretch from base 1 to 120 matches the Rfam family "5.8S ribosomal RNA", at positions 35 to 154 of the family's 154-position model. The record is from RNAcentral.